GUCCACGCUGUAAACGAUGAAUACUAGGUGUCGGAUCGAAAGGUUCGGUACCGUAGCUAACGCAUUAAGUAUUCCACCUGGGGAGUACGAUCGCAAGGUUGAAACUCAAAGGAAUUGACGGGGGCCCCGCACAAGCAGUGGAGCAUGUGGUUUAAUUCGAUGCAACGCGAAGAACCUUACCUAGGCUUGAAAUGCAGUAGACCGGGUAUGAAAGUACCCUUCCCUUCGGGGCUGCUGUACAGGUGCUGCAUGGCUGUCGU
This 260-nucleotide ribosomal RNA is filed under the name uncultured bacterium. RNAcentral's name for it is "partial 16S ribosomal RNA". It matches the Rfam family "Bacterial small subunit ribosomal RNA", at positions 793 to 1055 of the family's 1533-position model. The record is from RNAcentral.